This 553-nucleotide long non-coding RNA is filed under the name Populus trichocarpa (black cottonwood). RNAcentral's name for it is "long non-coding RNA (PTRI_LNC001193)". The record is from RNAcentral. Lineage: Eukaryota; Viridiplantae; Streptophyta; Magnoliopsida; Malpighiales; Salicaceae.
AUACAUUCCUAAUGGAACUGUCGCUGAUCAUCUUCAUGGAAGACAGUCGAACUCUGGUUUGCUCACUUGGCCUUUUCGGUUGAGCAUUGCUAUAGAGACAGCCAGUGCACUUGCAUACCUCCACGCUUCAGAUGUCAUACACCGUGAUGUCAAAACCAAUAACAUUCUCCUAGACAACGACUUCCAUGUGAAAGUGGCUGAUUUUGGUUUGUCGAGAUUGUUCCCAACUGAUGUUACUCAUGUAUCGACUGCUCCACAAGGAACGCCUGGAUAUGUUGAUCCGGAGUAUUAUCAAUGCUACCAACUGACGGACAAGAGCGACGUUUACAGCUUUGGUGUGGUCUUGAUUGAGCUGAUAUCAGCUUUAGAAGCAGUGGACACCAAUAGGCAUCGGCAUGAUAUUAAUUUGUCCAUCAUGGCAGUGAAAAAAAUCCAAAACCAUGCUUUAAAUGAGUUGGUUGAUCCAUUUCUUGGAUUUGACAAGGAUUUCGUGGUGAGGAAGAUGGUAACAUCAGUUGCAGAAUUAGCUUUCCGGUGUUUGCAACAACAGAGG